GACGAACGCUGGCGGCGUGCUUAACACAUGCAAGUCGAACGGAAAGGCCCUGCUUUUGUGGGGUGCUCGAGUGGCGAACGGGUGAGUAACACGUGAGUAACCUGCCCUUGACUUUGGGAUAACUUCAGGAAACUGGGGCUAAUACCGGAUAGGAGCUCCUGCUGCAUGGUGGGGGUUGGAAAGUUUCGGCGGUUGGGGAUGGACUCGCGGCUUAUCAGCUUGUUGGUGGGGUAGUGGCUUACCAAGGCUUUGACGGGUAGCCGGCCUGAGAGGGUGACCGGCCACAUUGGGACUGAGAUACGGCCCAGACUCCUUCGGGAGGCAGCAGUGGGGAAUAUUGCACAAUGGACGGGAGCCUGACGCAGCAACGCCGCGUGCGGGAAGACGGACUUCGGGUUGUAAACCGCUUUCGCCUGUGACGAAGCGUGACUGACGGUAAUGGGUAAAGAAGCACCGGCUAACUACGUG
This 468-nucleotide ribosomal RNA is filed under the name uncultured bacterium. RNAcentral's name for it is "partial 16S ribosomal RNA". It matches the Rfam family "Bacterial small subunit ribosomal RNA", at positions 28 to 507 of the family's 1533-position model. The record is from RNAcentral.